UUAAAAAAUAUAAAUAAAAAAAACCAAUGUAAAGGCUGCAAAUCGCGUGAAGCAAGCAAAGAGAGAAAGUCAAUAGUCUCAAACCUAACUCCCUCACUCUUUGACACCAAGCCACUAGCCGUCUAGUUCACCGUACCAGUACGCACCAGCCACAAGGUGUUGAGUAAACGGCGACCACCAGCCCACUGUAGUCUCCACACUCUCCUUCUGUCUGCAACUCUGCAAGCCUGCCGAUCCGCCAUGCCUUCCGCGCCGCCACAUCGCCUUCCACCACUAACAAGAAUUACCGGAGUGAGUGACCACCGCCACAGAGCAAGGUAUUGUACGAGGUUCGGGUCUUGAUAUUGGUGAAUUACUAAGGUGGGAGAUUCUUUUGGAGCAAGCUCAUGUCAAUUGGAAAGCUCAAGAUGUAAGGAAGUGGAUUCUCCAAGUUCUAGCUCUUGCGUUCACAAGCCGAGCUCUCAUGAAGAUGGGCUGUUGAACCCACAAUCAAGUGUUUUUGGGACUGCCUAUCUUAUUGUUCAUCAUCAUCAUGUUGUGCAUUCAUUCGAAGACCUUAGCGAACGCACAAAUCCGCGAGAAAAUCCGAAGAAACCCAGAAGAGCACGGGCGCGCGCUGUUGCUGCGGGGGCGCUCCUUUGCGGGUUCCGGCUUCUCUCUUCUUUGUUUCGCGCCUCUUAUAAAUAUCCUUUUGAACCUAAUUUUGCAGAAAAGUUUUAUUUUAGAUUUAGAUCAUAUUCUUAGCUUAGUUGAGAGCAUCUCUCUCUAGUUUUAGGGUUAGUUUUAAGAGUAGAAUUUAGAGAGAGAAAGUGAGGAAUUUCAAUGGUGAUUUGAGUGUUGAAGAUUUAAGGUGAUAAUUGUAUUGAAGAUUAUCAAAUCAAACAAUGAGGAUUUCUAACUCUAUCUCAUUUUAUUGCUAUGUUUGAUUUCAUA
Long non-coding RNA from Chenopodium quinoa (quinoa), 933 nucleotides. RefSeq lists it as uncharacterized. The record is from RefSeq and is a predicted model, not a curated record. The transcript has 2 exons. Lineage: Eukaryota; Viridiplantae; Streptophyta; Magnoliopsida; Caryophyllales; Amaranthaceae.